Long non-coding RNA from Drosophila gunungcola (fruit fly), 1759 nucleotides. RefSeq lists it as uncharacterized. The record is from RefSeq and is a predicted model, not a curated record. The transcript has 3 exons. NCBI's taxonomy places the organism in Eukaryota, Metazoa, Arthropoda, Insecta, Diptera, Drosophilidae.
UCACUUGCCUCAUUAUAACUCAAUCAGUUACAACUUUUUCAAUUAACAGCACAUCGCAGCCGAUGCCAAACACUUUCACCUUUAAGAACCGCAAUUUUCCAUUGCCUCUUGGCUCACUCUUCCCCUACCAACCGAAGAACAUGCCCCACGAUAAUUGAAUUAUGAAACAUCAUUUCGCUGUCUGCGUUAACCAUAAACGCAUUAAGUUCGCGUUAAUGAAGAAUUAUGCAGAUGAUGUCCAGGUCCUGACCUCAGACUAGACUUCAAUAUGAAGGCGCGGCGUGAAGAGAAGAAAUAUAAACGAACCUAUAAAAGCCUUGGCCAUUAGCAAGUCUGGUCCAUUAAAACUGCACACACAGAGAUUAAAAGGAGCUGGGAAAAACUUCUGCAGUGAAUUUGCUGAAUUAUUAAUUAACCUCAAACAAUUAAAAGUGAAAUAUUUAAAAAAUGUUCGUAUAAUUAAGCGAUGCGCUGAAAAGGACGGGUUUUACAAAUCCUUUUUAAGCGGCCAAGGAAUUCGCUGAAGGAAAUGGUUCGAGGUUUCAAGACCGAUAAACAAUGUAGAUUGUAAUUAACUUGACCGGCCCUACCUGCCCUUCCAUUUUCCACCCAUUUUCCUCCCAUUUCCCGUCUGCAUGUAAAUGUGGGUGGGUGGCAGCGACUUAAUUGCAUGCACGAAAUGCAGAGCUCGAAUGAAUGACAUUCAUUUUCGAUUCGCUUCCACUGUCUUUGCUGCACUUCCGUUUGCCACACACACAGGAAGGCAGCCAAAGGAUUCAGCAAGGAUAAAACUUGGACUCGGUGGAAAAUGGCAGCUGACCGACCCGGGAAUAAAUAAAGCAAAUAUGGAAGUUGAGUGCGAUAAAUGCAAUUGAUCAAGGCAAGAAAAACAAGGCCGGAAAUUUCCAAAGAAACGGCGGACACAUGCUACUUUUCCCAUGGUCAAAGGAAAAUGCGGACAGAGCCCAAGGCCACUCGAGUACAGUGAACACUGAGUGGGUGAGAGAGGUGAUGGCGCAGGCAUAAAAAAACCCGCAGCUGUCAUUGGCAAUAAAAAUAAUAACACCCAUCGAGUGCUCGAAAAGUAACAAAAGCAACAGCAGUCAAACCAUUUCAAUGGCUCGAUGUUUUUUAUCAAUCACAAAAUAAACACUCAACAAUGGAAGGGAGCGAAUAUAUGUUUAUGCAUUUCCUUUUCAAUACAAUACAUUUUUUGUAUGUAUUAUCAUAUUUAUUUAUAGGUACUACGUGUGCCCCACAGGAAGCUGUAAGCGUCAUACUCGUUUCACUUUGAUAUUGUUCAAAAGCGAAAAUACAUAAAAACAAGCAUUUUUAAUUUUCACAGGAGCAUACAUAUUUCUACGCCAACCUGUCUGCCAUAAUUGAAGUACAAGCCAACGCCAUUUGAUUAUUUGUAUACUAAUAAAAAGCAUUGCGAAUUUUUUUACGAUUUGUUUGUCAUGGAAUCAAGAAACACAAGAAACAAGAUAUAAGUAGAAGGAAAUGCUCCCUCCCCAUAAAACAACAAUUUUUCAUUUUCACCAAGGAAAAAAAAAUGAAAAGUCCACAAAUAUAUGGCCGUCUCAUAAAUAGGAGACCAGAAAUCAAUUGACAAUUUAUUGUUUGAAAUAUAAAAAAUGAGCGAGUGUAAGUUCGGUUUGAAAGAGAUGUCGUUUUUGUGCAGGGCAAAAAUCUAUAUUAAAUUACGAGCCAGCUAACAAAAUGUCAAAAUAAUAAUAAUAAAAAGACGAAAUGACAA